RNAcentral lists this ribosomal RNA (279 nucleotides) under Triticum aestivum (bread wheat). RNAcentral describes it as "partial small subunit ribosomal RNA". Lineage: Eukaryota; Viridiplantae; Streptophyta; Magnoliopsida; Poales; Poaceae. The record is from RNAcentral.
AUGGAACCUCACAGAAUAUCAGAAAUCCAUCCAAAGUUCAUGUCGAUGCAAUACCUGAUGUUGUUUCCAUACGGAGAAGACGGCUUCAAGCUUGAAAUACCUUACAAGCGAAGAAAAGAAGGUGACAAAAGCAGGAAAUAUGUAACUAUGCUGGACUACUACGCAUACUACCUACUGCAAAGACCUGACCAAGGAAUGUCACUGCUAACGUCUAGACAUCUAUCGCUGCAAUUUUGGGUAGAUGUUUACACAUGCAUUGAGCAAAACAGACUAAACUAG